RNAcentral lists this ribosomal RNA (497 nucleotides) under uncultured bacterium. Its description in RNAcentral is "partial 16S ribosomal RNA". It matches the Rfam family "Bacterial small subunit ribosomal RNA", at positions 28 to 507 of the family's 1533-position model. The record is from RNAcentral.
GAUGAACGCUGGCGGCGUGCCUAAUACAUGCAAGUCGAGCGAACAGACGAGGAGCUUGCUCCUCUGACGUUAGCGGCGGACGGGUGAGUAACACGUGGAUAACCUACCUAUAAGACUGGGAUAACUUCGGGAAACCGGAGCUAAUACCGGAUAAUAUAUUGAACCGCAUGGUUCAAUAGUGAAAGACGGUCUUGCUGUCACUUAUAGAUGGAUCCGCGCCGCAUUAGCUAGUUGGUAAGGUAACGGCUUACCAAGGCAACGAUGCGUAGCCGACCUGAGAGGGUGAACGGCCACACUGGAACUGAGAAACGGGCCAGACUCCUAAGGGAGGCAGCAGGAGGGAAUCUUACGCAAUGGGCGAAAGCCUGACGGAGCAAAGCCGGGGGAGUGAUGAAGGUCUUCGGAUCGGUAAACCUUGGUAUUAGGGAAGAACAAAUGUGUAAGUAACUAGGCACGUCUUGACGGUACCUAAUCAGAAAGCCACGGCUAACUACGUG